Salmo salar (Atlantic salmon) is the source of this 2051-nucleotide non-coding RNA. The record is from the annotation of a RefSeq genome assembly. NCBI's taxonomy places the organism in Eukaryota, Metazoa, Chordata, Actinopteri, Salmoniformes, Salmonidae.
CCUUGACUGAGAUCUGUGUCAAAGUUUACUUUCAGAAUUGCUCUCCAGUCUCAAUACACCUGUCACAGUAAAAAACCUGACGUGAUUACCAAUGAAUAGUAGCUGGGAUAUUAAAAAUGUCAUUACGAUUCUGCUCCUUAUUUUGCAUUGUAAAGGUGCAAAGGCCCAGUCUACAAAGAAGAUAGCCAUCUUAGCUGGCACGGACGUUACCUUAAACUGCUUUUUCAAGAAGCCUGAACGUGUACCACUGAAGAAAAUCACGGUUGAGUGGGGGAUGAUAGUGGAUAAAGAGACCAUAAAGCACCUAGUGUAUACGCUCCAGAAUGGGAGCGCCAAGGUGCAUCGUGAAGGGUCUCGAGUCGACCAAACGGGGUUGCUUCAGGGCAAUGCAUCCCUUCGUUUGUUCAACAUGACCGUGGCCGAUGAGGGACUCUACCGCUGCAGAGUGAUCAUCACUCCCAACACAUACAAAGUUUCCUCACAGCUGGAAGUAUCAGCCAGACCCUUGGUGUCCCUCCCAGAGACCGCCACGGUGAUGGAGGGGGAGGAAAGGACAUUGAUGUGUGACAUCACGGGAUUCUACCCAGAGAAUCUGGCCGUGACCUGGCUGAUCCAAAAUGUCUCCCGGGUGGCCCGUGGGAGCAUGGCUCGCGGGGCCAUCUCACGGGAUGUGUGCACUGGAAUGGCUGUGCCCAAUCCAGACGGCACCUACAGUGUCAGCAGUCACAUCACUGUCCAGGCUUCAGCCGUAGGGAGCGGAGGAGCCAUGUACAUCUGUCACAUCGAACAUAGGUCCUACCCUGAUGGGAAAUACAGCAAAAGCAUCUUGUUGACCGUGCAAGAUCCAGGGUUUAAUGCCGUAACACUGAUGGUAGUUACUAGUCUUGUUAGUGUUCUUCUGGUCUUCUCUGUCAUCGGUGGUGCAAUGGUCUUCUACAGGUAUUUUUACACAGUUCCUCCCAGCAUCUCUGACAUCAUCAAACCCACCAUCGUUUAUGCAAUGAAGCCGACCAACUUAAAAUGCACCAUUAAAAGAGUACGACUUAGAGAGCUCAAAGUGAAAUGGUACAAGAUAACAGCCAAUAGGGACUGUAACGCAGCUUCCAAUAGCCAAUCAACGGCACUGUUGAGCCGCAAGGACCUGAGUGACCAGGCUAACAUCCACUCUGAGGGCAUGCAUCACGUGUCCACCCUGUCCGUCUGUUUGUCAGUCAGUGAGGACCAGGCUAAGUACCUGUGUGUUGUGUUGUACAGAGGCAGGAGGAUCACCAGGGAGACCACUGUGAGUGUAAAAGUGACUCCAUCGUUCUUUCACAUCUCCAGCAUGCCUCAGAUCCCAGAGGUGAAGAGGUUGCUGGUGCUAUGCUGUCGGGUCGAGAAGUUCUACCCGGACGACCUCCAUCUCGAGUGGUCGAGAAAUGACGGGGAGCAGGUGGGGACAGCCACUAACUAUGGACCGUUCUCUGACCACGAGCGGAUGUACAGCAUGUGGAGUAAGAUCGAACUGACAAUAGCUCAGGAAGACGAGAGGGCGGUCUACACAUGCCGCUUGUAUCACUCCAGUUUCCCCGGGCCAGGAUACAAAGACGUUCUCUAUCAUAUCAACACACAAGGUACUCCUCCAAGCGUGAUGUUCAUCAAGUGUGAGCCACUACUCCCUCUGCUGGAUGAGGAGUGCACGCUCAACCUCUGCGUCAAAGACUUCUGUCCUGAACAAGUGUCUGUCACAUGGUUUAAGGACGGACAGACGGUCCCCAACAGCCAGUUCUUCAACUCCCCACCCAGCCUCAACGUCAAUGGCCUCUACUCUAUGUGGAGCUUCCUCAAACUGAGCCCCACCAUGGAGGACUACGGCUCAGAGUUCAGGUGCAGGGUGGUCCACAGUGCCCAGAAGGAACCGGAGGAGAGGGUGUUCACACAUCACAUCUCAUAGUCACCUAGUCAAGGGAAGUCAGACCUUUGUUCAAAUACUUUGUUUGCACUUUUGGGACUUUUCUAUUGGUUCCAUUACAACAGGAAAGCUCAAUAAAGGACGGCUUAAGUAUUUGAAA